GAGAGUUUGAUCCUGGCUCAUUUACGAACGCUGGCGGCGUGCCUAACACAUGCAAGUCGAGCGAAUGAAGUUCCUUCGGGAACGGAUUUAGCGGCGGACGGGUGAGUAACACGUGGGCAACCUGCCUCAUAGAGGGGAAUAGCCUUCCGAAAGGGAGAUUAAUACCGCAUAAGAUUGUAGUACCGCAUGGUACAGCAAUUAAAGGAGCAAUCCGCUAUGAGAUGGGCCCGCGGCGCAUUAGCUAGUUGGUGAGGUAACGGCUCACCAAGGCGACGAUGCGUAGCCGACCUGAGAGGGUGAUCGGCCACAUUGGGACUGAGACACGGCCCAGACUCCUACGGGAGGCAGCAGUGGGGAAUAUUGCACAAUGGGGGAAACCCUGAUGCAGCAACGCCGCGUGAGUGAUGACGGCCUUCGGGUUGUAAAGCUCUGUCUUCAGGGACGAUAAUGACGGUACCUGAGGAGGAAGCCACGGCUAACUACGUGCCAGCAGCCGCGGUAAUACGUAGGUGGCGAGCGUUGUCCGGGAUUUACUGGGCGUAAAGGGUGCGUAGGCGGUUUGGUAAGUCAGUGGUGAAAGUUUGCAGCUUAACUGUAAAAUUGCCAUUGAUACUGUCAGACUUGAGUACAGAUGAGGUAGGCGGAAUGUGUGGUGUAGCGGUGAAAUGCUUAGAGAUCACACAGAACACCGAUUGCGAAGGCAGCUUACUAAACUGUUACUGACGCUGAGGCACGAAAGUGUGGGGAUCAAACAGGAUUAGAUACCCUGGUAGUCCACACUGUAAACGAUGAUUACUGGAUGUUUGCGAUAUAUUGUAAGCGUCUCAAGCGAAAGCAUUAAGUAAUCCACCUGGGGAGUACGUCGGCAACGAUGAAACUCAAAGGAAUUGACGGGGGCCCGCACAAGCGGAGGAACAUGUGGUUUAAUUCGAUGAUACGCGAGGAACCUUACCCGGGCUCGAACGACAGGGGAAUAUGGGGGAAACUUCAUAGCCAGCAAUGGCCGCUGUCGAGGUGCUGCAUGGUUGUCGUCAGCUCGUGCCGUGAGGUGUCGGCUUAAGUGCCAUAACGAGCGCAACCCUUAUCAUUAGUUGCCAUCAUUAAGUUGGGCACUCUAAUGAGACCGCCGGGGAUAACUCGGAGGAAGGUGGGGGAUGACGUCAAAUCAUCAUGCCCCUUAUGUCCUGGGCUACACACGUGCUACAAUGGUCGGUACAACGAGAAGCGAAGUCGCGAGGCGGAGCGAAUCUUUCAAAGCCGAUCCCAGUUCGGAUUGCAGGCUGAAACCCGCCUGCAUGAAGCAGGAGUUGCUAGUAAUCGCAGAUCAGCAUGCUGCGGUGAAUGCGUUCCCGGGUCUUGUACACACCGCCCGUCACACCAUGGAAGUUGGGGGCGCCCGAAGUUGGUCGGUAAAUAGAUCACCUAGGGCGAAAUCAAUGACUGGGGUGAAGUCGUAACAAGGUAGCCGUAG
RNAcentral lists this ribosomal RNA (1471 nucleotides) under uncultured Clostridium sp. RNAcentral's name for it is "partial 16S ribosomal RNA". It matches the Rfam family "Bacterial small subunit ribosomal RNA". Lineage: Bacteria; Bacillati; Bacillota; Clostridia; Eubacteriales; Clostridiaceae. The record is from RNAcentral.